This 1136-nucleotide long non-coding RNA is filed under the name Homo sapiens (human). RNAcentral's name for it is "HSALNT0188418". The record is from RNAcentral. Lineage: Eukaryota; Metazoa; Chordata; Mammalia; Primates; Hominidae.
UUUUAAAACAAUGUUUUACUGAGGGUGGAAGAGGGCUGUAUAAAUCUGGUGAAGUGUGGCUGUUGAUCUUGCUUCAAGCUAGACAUGAUGUCAGCAAAAGUUAUGCCAGCCCAAGAAACUCUGAAAGAAUGGACGUGAUAUAUAUGCCAUCACUUGGGAUGCUCAGAGUGAUCCAUUUCUGUUGACAUCUCUACAAAGUUGGGCAAUUUUUCCCUAUUUCAAGUUUCAAAGACCUAUUUUUAUGACUAAGUAUGAUUCAUUAAACAUAUUUAAUGAGUGCCAGUCAAGGGUAAAACAUCUAUAACUAAAACUGGCUCAUAGUAGGUGUUCAAAGAAUCUUUCCUUCUUCCUCAUAGCUUUGGGUGGCAAAUAUUCUGGCUGUUUCAAAAGAUGACCCCUUCUUCCCCAUUUCUCCACCUUCUUCCUCAGCAUUUUCAUGGGAUGAGCUUUUGAUUGUUGCUAAUAAUAGUUCCUUACAUUUAUAUAGUGCUUUAUAGUAAUAAGGCAAUUUCAGGUCCAUAAUUUCAUCUGGGCAUCCCAUGAAUCUAGCCAGAUGGGUAUUAAUAAUCUUUAUUUUUCAGGUGGAAAAAUGAACCUCAGAGAAUUCAAGUUACUUGCUGUUGGUAGAUUAUUCAAAGUUGGAUUUUCUGAUUUAAUAAAGAAGAAGAAAUGAAAAGGUGGAAGGAAAGUUUUUUUGAAGGUCAUUACCUUCAGAGUAACACUGUGCCAGACAUUACUGUUUGCCUCCAAAACAGAAGUAUAUUUACAAUGAGGUGAACAAGCCUAAGUCUCAUGGCCUCCAUUCAAAUAGGCCUUUUCAAAGCCCUGGGAGGGGCCUCCACAAUGUGUUUUCAGGUCAGAUGUUUUUGUGAAAUUUGUUAGCAAAAAGACUUUAUUGUCUUCCAUUACCCCCAGAUUGUAUAAGCUUCAGGACACAAAAAACCUAGUUCUGUCACUCUUCUCAAAUAAGAGAACCUCAAUUUUUAGCCAGGCAUAUUGCCACCCAACCAAAAAGACAAUAUUUCCCAGCAUUCCUUGCAGAGGGGCUGGCCAUGUGAUCAAUUCUAGCCAAUGACAUGUAAGCCAACACAGUAUUUGAGAUUUUCAGGAAUUAUCUUAAGAUGGAGGGAAAGGGA